AGGUACUUGAAAGAAUCAAAUAUGAAGAAAUUGAUGAUACAGACCAACUUAGAAUAUGUUUACGACAAGAAGCUGCAAGAUGGGCAUGUUUUCUCGGUGACAUUACUUGUAAGAAAAUAGCCAACAUAAAAUUAAAACAACAUUGCGAACAACCUAAAACAUACAGACUUAUGCCAUGGUGAAAGGAAUGGACAUAUUGUAAAGGUUUGAUGAUAACUGCCGAAAAAGAGAAUACUUGGGAAAUUGUGUAUGUGAUAGGUUUGGAAAAAAAGACACUAAAUUUUUAGAAUACUUGGCUUGCACUGAAGAUACUAAUCGCAUCAAAUCGUAUUUAACAUUAAAACAAAAUAUUUCUACACAAAAUAAAUAUCCAAAUUUUUUAACAGUUUCUUACAUAUUAUUACAAAGCAUGCGAAGAAUCAAACUAUACUGGAGCAUUUAUUAAAUUAUUUUCAAGAAAAAAAACCAAAACCUGUUACUAUACCUGCAGCAUUAAUUAUUAUUAUUAUUAACGUAUAUUCCGUAAAUCAAACUAAGUUAAUAGAAGAAUUCGUUGAAAGAUGGAAGACGGACUUAGCAGACAUAAUUAAUAUAAUUAAUAAAACAACAAAUU
This is a non-coding RNA of Nylanderia fulva, 613 nucleotides long. The record is from RefSeq and is a predicted model, not a curated record. NCBI's taxonomy places the organism in Eukaryota, Metazoa, Arthropoda, Insecta, Hymenoptera, Formicidae.